CCAAUAGCGUAUAUUAAAGUUGUUGCAAUUAAAAAGCUCGUAGUUGAAUUUCGGGAUCAAGUCGUCGGUCGUGCUCAGGUACGUACUGGCGUCAUUGAUUUCUCCCUUCUGACGAACCAUGAUGUCAUUAACUUGGUGUCAUGGGAAAUCAGGACUGUUACUUUGAAAAAAUUAGAGUGUUUAAAGCAGGCUCACGCUUGAAUACAUUAGCAUGGAAUAAUGAAAUAGGACGUUCGAUCCUAUUUUGUUGGUUUUAGGAUCAACGUAAUGAUUAAUAGGGAUAGUUGGGGGCAUUAGUAUUCAAUUGUCAGAAGUGAAAUUCUUGGAUGUAUUGAAGACUAACUACUGCGAAAGCAUUUGCCAAGGAUGUUUUCAUUAAUCAAGAACGAAAGUUAGGGGAUCGAAGACGAUCAGAUACCGUCGUAGUCUUAACCAUAAACUAUGCCGACUAGGGAUCGGAUGAUGUUAAGUUUUUAAUGACUCAUUCGGCGCCUUACGGAAAACCAAAGUGUUUGGGUC
Molecule: ribosomal RNA, 519 nt
Filed under: uncultured Glomus
Lineage: Eukaryota; Fungi; Glomeromycota; Glomeromycetes; Glomerales; Glomeraceae
Description: SSU rRNA
Rfam family: Eukaryotic small subunit ribosomal RNA
Source: RNAcentral